GCUUACGUAGCUCAAUUAAAGCAUACCGCUGAAGAUGGUAAGAUGGUCCUUAACCGGCCCCGAAAGCA
This 68-nucleotide transfer RNA is filed under the name Moolgarda cunnesius (longarm mullet). RNAcentral describes it as "tRNA-Phe". The record is from RNAcentral. Lineage: Eukaryota; Metazoa; Chordata; Actinopteri; Mugiliformes; Mugilidae.